ACGCUCGACACCUACGGGAGGAGCAGUAGGGAAGUCUUCCACAAUGGGCGCGAAGCCUGAUGGAGCAACACCGCGUGAGUGAAGAAGGGUUUCGGCUCGUAAAGCUCUGUUGUUGGAGAAGAACGUGCGUGAGAGUAACUGUUCACGCAGUGACGGUAUCCAACCAGAAAGUCACGGCUAACUACGUGCCAGCAGCCGCGGUAAUCUGAGCGGGCUGGCAAGGC
RNAcentral lists this ribosomal RNA (224 nucleotides) under uncultured bacterium. RNAcentral's name for it is "partial 16S ribosomal RNA". It matches the Rfam family "Bacterial small subunit ribosomal RNA", at positions 328 to 539 of the family's 1533-position model. The record is from RNAcentral.